This 710-nucleotide ribosomal RNA is filed under the name uncultured Bacteroidota bacterium. Its description in RNAcentral is "bacterial SSU rRNA". It matches the Rfam family "Bacterial small subunit ribosomal RNA", at positions 130 to 841 of the family's 1533-position model. The record is from RNAcentral. Lineage: Bacteria; Pseudomonadati; Bacteroidota.
CCACCCCCUGAGGAUAACCUUGCGAAAGUAAGACUAAUACCCAAUGAUAUCUCUAGAAGACAUCUGAAGGAGAUUAAAGAUUUAUCGGUGAUGGAUGGGGAUGCGUCUGAUUAGCUUGUUGGCGGGGUAACGGCCCACCAAGGCGACGAUCAGUAGGGGUUCUGAGAGGAAGGUCCCCCACAUUGGAACUGAGACACGGUCCAAACUCCUACGGGAGGCAGCAGUGAGGAAUAUUGGUCAAUGGGCGAGAGCCUGAACCAGCCAAGUAGUGUGCAGGAUGACGGCCCUAUGGGUUGUAAACUGCUUUUAUAAGGGAAUAAAGUGGGAGUCGUGAGUCCUUUUGCAUGUACCUUAUGAAUAAGGACCGGCUAAUUCCGUGCCAGCAGCCGCGGUAAUACGGAAGGUCCGGGCGUUAUCCGGAUUUAUUGGGUUUAAAGGGAGCGUAGGCCGGAGAUUAAGCGUGUUGUGAAAUGUAGAUGCUCAACGUCUGCACUGCAGCGCGAACUGGUUUCCUUGAGUACGCACAAAGUGGGCGGAAUUCGUGGUGUAGCGGUGAAAUGCUUAGAUAUCACGAAGAACUCCGAUUGCGAAGGCAGCUCACUGGAGCGCAACUGACGCUGAAGCUCGAAAGUGCGGGUAUCGAACAGGAUUAGAUACCCUGGUAGUCCGCACGGUAAACGAUGGAUGCCCGCUGUUGGUCUGAAUAGGUC